This 221-nucleotide ribosomal RNA is filed under the name Klebsiella pneumoniae. Its description in RNAcentral is "partial 23S ribosomal RNA". It matches the Rfam family "Bacterial large subunit ribosomal RNA", at positions 1273 to 1498 of the family's 2925-position model. The record is from RNAcentral. Lineage: Bacteria; Pseudomonadati; Pseudomonadota; Gammaproteobacteria; Enterobacterales; Enterobacteriaceae.
CUGGAGGUAUCAGAAGUGCGAAUGCUGACAUAAGUAACGAUAAAGCGGGUGAAAAGCCCGCUCGCCGGAAGACCAAGGGUUCCUGUCCAACGUUAAUCGGGGCAGGGUGAGUCGACCCCUAAGGCGAGGCCGAAAGGCGUAGUCGAUGGGAAACAGGUUAAUAUUCCUGUACUUGGUGUUACUGCGAAGGGGGGACGGAGAAGGCUAUGUUAGCCGGGCGA